AUGGAUCUACACCCACAAGUGUUGUGCUGGAACGUGAGAGGCCUCAACAAUCCAGCCAAGAGGAAGGCAGUUAGGGAGUUUGUGGUGGCAGCCAGAGUUAACAUAGUGUGUCUUCAAGAGACUAAGCUAAAUGUAAUUGACCGUUUCAUGGCUAUGCAAUGCAUUGGUUCAUCUUUGGACGGCUUUGUUUAUUCGCCGGCGUCUGACACUAGAGGGGGUAUUUUGCUAGCAUGGGAUAGCAUGGUCAUGGAUGUGGACAAUUUUGCAUACGAUGCCAACUUCAUAACAGGGCAAGUGCACAAUAGAGACGGUUCGGACUGGUGGUUUUCUAUGGUCUACGAGCCACAAGACGAUGCGCCAAAGCGGAAAUUUCUAAGGGAUCUGCAGGCUAGACAUACGACUUGUCAUGGGUCGUGGAUGGUGUUGGGGGACUUUAACAUGGUCCUUAGAGCUGGGGAGAAGAACAACAACAAUCUCAAUAGGCAUGUCAUGGGCAAAUUCUGA
Molecule: ribosomal RNA, 504 nt
Filed under: Triticum aestivum (bread wheat)
Lineage: Eukaryota; Viridiplantae; Streptophyta; Magnoliopsida; Poales; Poaceae
Description: partial small subunit ribosomal RNA
Source: RNAcentral